RNAcentral lists this ribosomal RNA (443 nucleotides) under uncultured bacterium. RNAcentral describes it as "partial 16S ribosomal RNA". It matches the Rfam family "Bacterial small subunit ribosomal RNA", at positions 30 to 523 of the family's 1533-position model. The record is from RNAcentral.
CGAACGCUGGCGGCAGGCCUAAUACAUGCAAGUCGAACGGCUCUUCGGAGCAGUGGCGGACGGGUGAGUAACGCGUGGGAAUGUGCCCUAGGUACGGAACAACACAGGGAAACUUGUGCUAAUACCGUAUGUGCCCUCGGGGGAAAGAUUUAUCGCCUUUGGAGCAGCCCGCGUUGGAUUAGGUAGUUGGUGAGGUAAAGGCUCACCAAGCCGACGAUCCAUAGCUGGUCUGAGAGGAUGACCAGCCACACUGGGACUGAGACACGGCCCAGACUCCUACGGGAGGCAGCAGUAGGGAAUCUUGCGCAAUGGGCGAAAGCCUGACGCAGCCAUGCCGCGUGUAUGAUGAAGGUCUUAGGAUUGUAAAAUACUUUCACCGGGGAAGAUAAUGACGGUACCCGGAGAAGAAGCCCCGGCUAACUUCGUGCCAGCCGCCGCGGUAA